CAGUCGAGCGAGCUUGCCUAGAUGAUUUUAGUGCUUGCACUAAAUGACACUAGAUACAAGCGAGCGGCGGACGGGUGAGUAACACGUGGGUAACCUGCCCAAGAGACUGGGAUAACACCUGGAAACAGAUGCUAAUACCGGAUAACAACACUAGACGCAUGUCUAGAGUUUGAAAGAUGGUUCUGCUAUCACUCUUGGAUGGACCUGCGGUGCAUUAGCUAGUUGGUAAGGUAACGGCUUACCAAGGCAAUGAUGCAUAGCCGAGUUGAGAGACUGAUCGGCCACAUUGGGACUGAGACACGGCCCAAACUCCUACGGGAGGCAGCAGUAGGGAAUCUUCCACAAUGGACGAAAGUCUGAUGGAGCAACGCCGCGUGAGUGAAGAAGGGUUUCGGCUCGUAAAGCUCUGUUGGUAGUGAAGAAAGAUAGAGGUAGUAACUGGCCUUUAUUUGACGGUAAUUACUUAGAAAGUCACGGCUAACUACGUGCCAGCAGCCGCGGUAAUACGUAGGUGGCAAGCGUUGUCCGGAUUUAUUGGGCGUAAAGCGAGUGCAGGCGGUUCAAUAAGUCUGAUGUGAAAGCCUUCGGCUCAACCGGAGAAUUGCAUCAGAAACUGUUGAACUUGAGUGCAGAAGAGGAGAGUGGAACUCCAUGUGUAGCGGUGGAAU
This 668-nucleotide ribosomal RNA is filed under the name uncultured bacterium. RNAcentral's name for it is "bacterial SSU rRNA". It matches the Rfam family "Bacterial small subunit ribosomal RNA", at positions 59 to 687 of the family's 1533-position model. The record is from RNAcentral.